Molecule: long non-coding RNA, 250 nt
Filed under: Musa acuminata (dwarf banana)
Lineage: Eukaryota; Viridiplantae; Streptophyta; Magnoliopsida; Zingiberales; Musaceae
Description: long non-coding RNA (MACU_LNC010714)
Source: RNAcentral
GGUGGGCUGGCCGGAAGUAGGGGGAUGCAGGGGUGGCUGCUGAUUCUUCUUCCUCUCUUGUUUCUUCUUUUCUUUUCUUUUUUUUUUUUUGAAAGAGAUGAGGCAGCAAGGAGGUCGAGCGGUGGUCAAAGGUCACUGGCCAGGGAGAAGCAGCGACGGUGGUCGAGCGGCCGAGGAAACAGCGGCAACGGUGAAGAAAGAGUUGCCUUGUAGUGGUGGUGGGGAAGAAGGGUAGCAAAGCUGUGGCGGG